GGUGAGUAACACGUGGAUAACCUACCUAUAAGACUGGGAUAACUUCGGGAAACCGGAGCUAAUACCAGAUAACAUGUUGAACCGCAUGGUUCAACAGUGAAAGACGGUCUUGCUGUCACUUAUAGAUGGAUCCGCGCCGCAUUAGCUAGUUGGUAAGGUAACGGCUUACCAAGGCAACGAUGCGUAGCCGACCUGAGAGGGUGAUCGGCCACACUGGAACUGAGACACGGUCCAG
Molecule: ribosomal RNA, 235 nt
Filed under: uncultured Staphylococcus sp.
Lineage: Bacteria; Bacillati; Bacillota; Bacilli; Caryophanales; Staphylococcaceae
Description: partial 16S ribosomal RNA
Rfam family: Bacterial small subunit ribosomal RNA
Source: RNAcentral